CGGGAAGGAGACUGAUUCUGAGAUCAGCGCACAGGGCUGUGAUUGGGAGGGGCAGUUGGGAUCAGGAUUGGGGAGCAGGAUUGGGCAGAAGGAGAAGCUGAGCAGAGAUGCACGAAGGCCUGACAAAGGGCUCCGCCAGCCCGACAUGCGGCUCUGGAGACAGAUGAGCCAUCAGAAUGGGCUCAGAUCAGACCUUUAUACCCGGUGCAGAGCAGCCCCUGGAUGAGGCUGCCCCUGGAAGGAGGUGUGGCCUUGGACAGGUCGUUUUCUUCUGCUGAGGCAGUCCUCAAAGAGGGUGAGAGAGGGCCGGCCGGUGGCGCAGGGAUUGGGUUCACACGUUCGCUUCGGCAGCCCGGGGUUCGCCGGUUCAGAUCCCGUGUGCGGACAUGGCACCGCUUGGCAAAAGCCCUGCUGUGGCAGGCGUCCCACGUAUAAAGUAGAGGAAGAUGGGCAUGGAUGUUAGCUCAGGGCCAGUCUUCCUCAGCAAAAAGAGGAGGAUUGACAGUAGUUAGCUCAGGGCUAAUCUUCCUCCAAAAAAAAAAGUUAAAAAAAAAAAAAGAGGGUGAGAGCUGAGGGCACCUCCCAGCAGGUGAGGGAAGGGGUCCUUCAUUCCUGAAGAAGGAUGUGGGCAGCACAGCAUCUACCACCCUGAGGAAGGCCUCAGCAAGAAGGAGAAGUUGAAUAAGAACCUGAAGGCGUGAGGGCAAAAACUCUUCCAGGCAGAGGGAACGGCACGUGCAAAGGGCCUGAGGAGGGAUGAUGCCUGGGAGUGUGAGGAGGCCAGUGCGGCUGGAGCCGAGCCGUGAGGCGGAAGAUCUCUCAGGAGCCUGUGGACCCUGAGAAGAUGAAGAAGCCCUGUGUUGCACCUAUUUUGCUGAUAAGAUGAGUAAACCAAGGCUCAGAGAGGAGAAGAAAUUUGCUCAAAACCAUGCUGUACUGAGCUGGGAUGGGAAUCUGGCCCCAAAGCCCUCUCUGGACUCUGCCUUCUGUCGUGCGCACAAGAGGAAUGGUGUUGGAGACGUGGAAAGGAAGGCUUUGGUGUUUGGAUCUGGGCUUCCUUCUUGAGAAAUUAGCUGCACGCUGUCCAUUCUCUUUUGCCUCCUCUCCAGGGUUCCCUGAGCCACACCUGGUGUGGUCACAAUUGCAAAGAGGCCCGGGAGGGUCCUGGAGGUUCCCAGGACUGAAGCUGUCCCCUUUCAGCCUGGGCGCCCCUGUGUGGACUUGAUGGGGACCUCUUGUCUGACGGAGCCCGUGUGGUUCUCGUGCAAUGAUGGGAACCAGGGGCUGCGGAGGGAAGAGCAAAGGAGCACGCUGGUGUCCCUCGGACCCAAGUUCAGGCUCUGUCACUUCACGUGACUUCAAACAAGUGGCUCUACCUUUCUGAGGCUGUUUUCCCAGCUGUACAAUGGGCUCAUAACACCGACCUAUCUCUCAGGGUUACCAAGAGGGGAAGUAGAUGAAGGUACGUAAGGGCCCAUCCCACUCACCCCUGGCUCACUGUUGGUGCUCGGAAGCACUGGAGAACAGACUCCCUAGGCUCACCAGCUCUGCCUCUCACCAGCCAAGGACCCAUGGAGGAAUGCAUCUCCCAAGGCCGCAUUUCCACAUCUAUAAAAUGGGGUAAGAAGCAUAUCAUCAUCCCAGAAUUGUCGUGAGAAUUAAGAUAAUUCGUUGAAGUGCUUGGCACAUGGGAUGACUUCAUAAAUGUCAGUUAUUGUUAUGUAAAAAAUACCCUUUGGGGAUAUCCAGGGCUCACGAGUGAAGAAUGCUAUACCAGUAAUGUUAUUUGAAAGGAUCCAAAACCACUAAUAUAGGAUUUGACGGAGGGAAGGAUAAAAUUCUCCAUUAAAGUUCAAAUCAUUAGUUUCAUAUAAAUAUUUUUCCAUUUCUGUCUUAGAGAAGCCACUUCUCCCUGUAAUAAGCCCUUGGAAUCUUUGGAAAGAAAUGUCAAAUGAGAAAACCUAGUGUGUCCUGACUUGUGGCAUUCAGGUUUCUUUUUUCAGUCAACAACCCCUUAGUGAACACCGUCUGUGUGCCUGGCUGGGGACCCCAGAGGGAAACGCCCAGGUCUUUAUUCCUCAGGAAUUCACCACCCAAGGCCCUAGGGCCUUCCUGGUUGAAAGUUCAGAUGAAGAGCCUGAAAUUUACCGAGAGGCUGGCUUUCUUCCACCCAGAAACACACUGGAAAAUGGAUAUUCUAGAGGAGUUAUCCAACAACCAUUUCUUGGAA
Molecule: long non-coding RNA, 2230 nt
Organism: Equus caballus (horse)
Lineage: Eukaryota; Metazoa; Chordata; Mammalia; Perissodactyla; Equidae
Source: Ensembl